RNAcentral lists this long non-coding RNA (1446 nucleotides) under Gossypium barbadense (sea-island cotton). RNAcentral describes it as "long non-coding RNA (GBAR_LNC005875)". The record is from RNAcentral. Lineage: Eukaryota; Viridiplantae; Streptophyta; Magnoliopsida; Malvales; Malvaceae.
UUCUGCCGAUUUUUGCUCUCCUCCAUAGCUGGGUUUUCUUCAACUUUCAAGCUUCAUAGUAAGUGAUUCCAAGCCCCGUUUUUAAUGAUCUUUACGUUUUUGGAGUCCCAGUAACUUGAUUAAGCUUAUUCUAGCAAUAAUUCAACCUAGGGUUCAUAUUUGGAAAAAUACCCAUGGAUGAAAUUUGUGUAUUUUGGUGUUUUAUGAUAUAAUAUAAGGUUUUAAAUUAUGUUAAACAACUUAUGCUACUCGGUUUUAAGUGAAAACGAGUAAAAGGGCUUAAAUUGGAAAAAAAUACCAAUAGUCAUAAGUAUAUGUUAGAGUGUGAUUUUGAUAUUUCCAUAGAAGAGAAAAAUGAUCAGCAUGUCAUAAAAUAUAAGAAAAUAGGAUGAAGUUUAAUUUACGAGCCUUGGGGCAAAAGUGCAAAUAUGUGAAAGUUUAGGGGUAAAAAUAUAAUUUUGCCAAAGUUUGGAUCAAGGACUGUUUUAAUAAAUGUGAAUAUUAAAUAAGUUAAAUUUGCUAUUAUAGAUCAAGAAGAACGAAAUUCGGGAGUAGAUCGGGGAAAAGAAAAAGUAAAGGACUAAAUUGUAAAGUUUAGUCACAUUUUGUAUCAAGGUAAGUUACAGUAAAUAAAUGCAAUAUUAUUUUAUUUUACAUUAUUAUUUUCAACUUCCAGCAUUUAUAUAUUUAUGUUAUGAAAAUAUUUAAAGUCGAAUUUAAGGUGAAGUGACAAAGGAAAAGUGUUAGAAAGCCCCGGUUGAACCCUAGGAAUGUUAGGAUAUUAGGGUUGACAGGACAGAACAGAAAUGAGCCAUGUAAGUCCAUAUUAGAAAUAUGGCUUUGGAGACAGGAUUGAGCCAUGUAAGUCCAUAUUAUAUAUGGCAUUGGAGACAGGAAUAAUUCAUGUAAGUCCAUGUCAAAGACAUGGCAUUGGCAGGAUAUUGAUAGACAGGAACGACCCUAGUAUCCUUAGUAUUCUGAGUGGUUCAACGGGUCAGGAUACGAGUUAAAUUAUAGUGAAUUAACAGCAAAGGAAAAGUAGAUUAUACUUAUGAAAAAGGAAAGGUCAGGUAAGAAAGAAGGUAAGGGAAUAAAGAAGAAGAUAGAAAUUGAGAAGUAAAGAAAUUUAUGAUGUUAGAUGAUAUUAUGCAUAAUUAUCCAUUAUGUUGAAUGUUGUGAUUUAUUUGCUUGUAAGCUUACUAAGCCUAGUGCUUAAUCUCUUUAUUUUCUUCUUCUUAUAGUACUUAUCUAGUCACUCGGGGAUCGAAGGAAACAUCGGAGGCCGAUCACACUAUCAAAGAAAUAACUCAGUAUAAUUAGACGUUUUGUUUUGGGUAUGGCAUGUAUAGAAACUUAGCUACUUUUGGUAUAAUAUGAACAAUGAAUGAUGUGUAAAUACUUGCUAGUGAUUAGCUAAUAAAAUAGCCGAUGAUAUACAUGUUUAUU